Molecule: long non-coding RNA, 2729 nt
Organism: Seriola aureovittata
Lineage: Eukaryota; Metazoa; Chordata; Actinopteri; Carangiformes; Carangidae
Exons: 5
Source: RefSeq, a predicted model, not a curated record
UAUAGGAUUGGAGAGGAUUUUUUAGCAAGAAGUUUCAAAGACAUGUUUUGGGGACCUCUGAGACUUAUUCAAACUUGUUGAAAAGGAGCAUAAUAUGUCCCCUUUAAACUUUGCACUGUUAGCAAAUUGCCAUUUUUCCUUUGCUAGCUGAGGAUGGAGUGGAAGUGUAAGUAUUGUGGUUUUAUUUGUGGAAAGAGGGCGCAGCUUUUUAAACACUACAACAAAACAUGGUAGUUACACAGGGACAGUACCAUUUCCUGGUUUGCACCAGGACUGUUUGUGCACAUUCAAGUCCUUAAACAGCCUUAAAGCACAUAUAUCUCGUAUACAAUCUAAAACUCACAAAGAACAACUAACAGAAAACGAAACUGUAAAAUUCUGCUGUCAGUUGUGUGAUUUCAUUGAGCCCUGCUCUGAAUCAGAAUUUUUCACCCACCUCCGAAGUAGACACUUGAAAGUUAACCAAAAGGUUCAGUGUCCAUAUGCAGGCUGCAGAUUUGAGAGCAAUGUGUAUUCAACAAAGGAAUGAAGUGGUAAAGGACAAGCCUGCCAUCACCGAGAUAUGUCAGCGUUGGCCAGCUCUCUUACCUUAACAGCAGGUGUGUCUGGAGUUCAGUAGGGUUGUUGGUAAAAGCCUGAAACAAGAGUUCUAUGAGGCCCUUGAUCAACACAGUCCCAGGCUCAUUGAAAUCUUCAAGGCAAAGAGGGGCCUCACAGGGCAGGUCUUGGCCGACCUGAUGGAACAAACGAAGCACCUGAGGGAGCACAGAGACCAAGUCCAUAAGGCAGAACACAAUAGGAGAAUAUUCAGAUCCAAAUGACUGGUAAAACCUAAUGUAUGCUGACCUACAUUUGUUGAUGAAAGAGGCACAAGCUUUGGUGAGGGUGGCGCGGCAGAUGACCAGGUGGAUGCCAUUCUGAGUAACUGUCUGAGCAUGUCUGACGACCUGAAUGCCAGGACCAUGCUGCUCACCCUUAGUGACACUCUGGUGUUCUCAACUUUUCCCUGUGUGUUUUUCUUUCUGAACGUGUGUGUGCGUGUGCAUUGCAUUCACACAUGAGUGUUUAUUUUGGUCAAUGAUGGCACAGUCCUUCAGAUGCAGGUCAGAGAUAUAGAUAGUCUUGACUUGCUUUGUAUGUCUUCCUAAUGUCCUAAUGCUUGUUUUGACUCUGUGACAAACACGGGCCACGUGUCUUGGAGAGACACUCAGUCUGGCUCCUGUUAUGUCGAGACACUGGACUCGUUAUGUAAAACUAUUGCUUCCAAUGAUGGUUAGCACUUUUAAUGCCUCUGCGCCGGCGACAGCCAGGACUGGAGCAUUAUGUUUUCAGGUUGUCCCUUGGCCCCAUUCCCUUUUUGAGAGACUUUCUUCAAGAAUGUCACACACAUUCACUUGGACUCAAGGAUGCACUCAUAAGAUUUUGGUGGACAAAGGUCACAGUGACCUCACCAAACACAUUUUUUUACCUCUUGAAUCAAGACUGCCUUGAGGGCAUUUCUUCAGAUUUGGCAGAAAUAUGGAUGAACUGAUUAGUCAAAGGUCAAGGUCACUGUGACCUCACAAACACGUUUUCAACCAUAACUUUUAAGAAAUUCAUACAUUUUAACACAAAUAUCUAACAGGAUAGAAUAAUGAAGUCAUGACAUUUUAUAUCCCAAAGGUCAACUUCAUUGUGACAUCAUAAUGUACAAAAUCACUUCUGGCCAUUAUUCAACACUGUAACUGAGGAAGGGGAGAUUGUGACCAUAUUUCCUGCAAUUUGGCUGGUUGGCAGAGGCAUACAACUGCGAGGCGGUAAUUCUAGUUAUUUUAUGCACUGCCACAUCUGAUUAUUGAAUUUUCAUUAUUGACCUGGAAAUUAGCAAUCUGCCAAAACAAUCUGCAAGCAAAUGCCUGGUUCCUUUAACUUCCUGCGGGAACUUUCGGACCAAAACACCGGGGUAAAGCUUGAAUACUUGGUUGCACCUUCAGUAAAUCUAUUUUAACACCAUAUGUCCUGACUGUAUAUUUUCUUGGGUUUUUAGUAGUUAACAUCUUUUCUAAAUUAACCUUUUUAACGAUGGGGAUCAUCUUGAAGAGGAAAUAUUUAGCUACGGUGUUAGGUUAACUUUUUUUCAGUGUCACAUAGCACCUGUCAGUUCUUAAGAGGAGACGAUCAAUGUAAUGUUCAGUGUGUCCUGCAAAGUGGUUUUAAAAGACAUAUCCUUUGCUGACUGUUAUUUCAAGUUACUUAAAUAUAUUCUGAACAAAAUGUUAUGUGGAGUUAUUUGGGGAGAAUGAGGGUGGAGGCAAGGAAAGACAUGACCCACAGUGUUAAAUGAAAUAAAAGGGGGGUUGGGGGGUCCUUUGUGUUCUUUUCCAGUAAAAGUUAAUGUGCAUCUGAUUCAAAAUGUCCCCACUGAGAGCGGAAGCAUCUCUUCGUUGUCACAGCUGUUUUCUGCAGCUGCACAGUCCAGCUCCAUUUGGCAACAUACACUGUUCUAAAGUUAAUCUAAUGUAGUACACAAGAGCUGGCCUGUGCAAGCCUGUGUGAGUCAUUUGACAUCCUCCCCCCCAUACCUCAUGCCUGUAUACAAUAAUGUGUACACAGAGUGCAAGCACAGCAACAAAACCGGGAGUCAAUCAGAUUUGGCUUGAGCCUGAAGACCGCUCUUAAACUUUGUAACUUUGUGAAGAGGCUGCUGCAGCCUGAUAAAGUCUUCUCAGUAGUGAAAUAAAGGAAUUAAA